This 873-nucleotide ribosomal RNA is filed under the name uncultured bacterium. Its description in RNAcentral is "bacterial SSU rRNA". It matches the Rfam family "Bacterial small subunit ribosomal RNA", at positions 1 to 890 of the family's 1533-position model. The record is from RNAcentral.
CCUUAGAGUUUGAUCCUGGCUCAGGACGGACGCUGGCGGCGCGCCUAACACAUGCAAGUCGAACGAGCGAGAGAGAGCUUGCUUUCUCGAGCGAGUGGCGAACGGGUGAGUAACGCGUGAGGAACCUGCCUCAAAGAGGGGGACAACAGUUGGAAACGACUGCUAAUACCGCAUAAGCCCACGACCCGGCAUCGGGUAGAGGGAAAAGGAGCAAUCCGCUUUGAGAUGGCCUCGCGUCCGAUUAGCUAGUUGGUGAGGUAAUGGCCCACCAAGGCGACGAUCGGUAGCCGGACUGAGAGGUUGAACGGCCACAUUGGGACUGAGACACGGCCCAGACUCCUACGGGAGGCAGCAGUGGGGAAUAUUGCACAAUGGGGGAAACCCUGAUGCAGCGACGCCGCGUGGAGGAAGAAGGUCUACGGAUUGUAAACUCCUGUUGUUGAGGAAGAUAAUGACGGUACUCAACAAGGAAGUGACGGCUAACUACGUGCCAGCAGCCGCGGUAAAACGUAGGUCACAAGCGUUGUCCGGAAUUACUGGGUGUAAAGGGAGCGCAGGCGGGAAGACAAGUUGGAAGUGAAAUCCAUGGGCUCAACCCAUGAACUGCUUUCAAAACUGUUUUUCUUGAGUAGUGCAGAGGUAGGCGGAAUUCCCGGUGUAGCGGUGGAAUGCGUAGAUAUCGGGAGGAACACCAGUGGCGAAGGCGGCCUACUGGGCACCAACUGACGCUGAGGCUCGAAAGUGUGGGUAGCAAACAGGAUUAGAUACCCUGGUAGCCCACACUGUAAACGAUGAUUACUAGGUGUUGGAGGAUUGACCCCUUCAGUGCCGCAGUUAACACAAUAAGUAAUCCACCUGGGGAGUACGACCGCA